GUUAAACAUAAAGAGCGUAGGGUGGAUGCCUAGGCACUGACAGCCGAAGAAAGACGUGACAAGCUGCGAAAAGCUGCGGGGAGAAGCACAUAUUCAGUGAUCCGCAGAUGUCUGAAUGGGGAAACCCACUUGGAUAAACUCCAAGUAUCUGUACGCCAAUACAUAACGUACAGAGGGGAACCCGGUGAACUGAAACAUCUAAGUAGCCGGAGGAAAAGAAAACAACAGUGAUUGCGAAAGUAGCGGCGAGCGAAAUCGUAAGAGCCCAAACCGUGGUGCGUGCACUGCGGGGUAGAGGACUGCAACACGAGUAAGAUAUAUUACCUGAACCGUUUUGGAAAAGCGGGCCAAAGAGCGUGAGAGCCGUGUAAGGGAAAAUGUAUUGAAUCCAGCAGUAUCCGGAGUACCACGAGACACGAGAAACCUUGUGGGAAGCAGGGGGGACCACCCCCCAAGGCUAAAUACUAGUCAGUGACCGAUAGCGUAUAGUACUGUGAAGGAAAGGUGAAAAGAACCCCGGGAGGGGAGUGAAAAAGAACCUGAAACCCUAUGUUUACAAACUGUGGAACACCGAAAGGUGAACCGCGUACUUUUUGUAGAACGGUCCGGCGAGUUACAUGUACAGGCGAGGUUAAGUAUUAAAGAUACGGAGCCGAAGGGAAACCAAGUCUUAAUAGGGCGAUAUUAGUCAGUAUGUGUAGACCCGAAACCGGGUGAUCUAUCCAUGUCCAGGUUGAAGUUCGCGUAAAAGUGAAUGGAGGACCGAACGCACAUCCGUUGAAAAGGGUGGCGAUGAGGUGUGGAUAGGGGAGAAAUUCCAAUCGAACCCGGAGAUAGCUGGUUCUCCUCGAAAUAGUUUUAGGACUAGCCUCGUUAUUAGUCUACCGGAGGUAGAGCACUGAAUUUUUGCGGGGGCGUCAAAGCCUACCAAGAGAUAUCAAACUCCGAAUGCCGGCUAGAUGAUUGACGGGAGUCAGACUACACGAGAUAAGUUGGGUAGUCAAAAGGGAAAGAGCCCAGACCUACGGCUAAGGUCCCAAAGUGUGUGUUAAGUGGAAAAGGAUGUGGGAUUUCGAAGACAGCUAGGAUGUUGGCUUAGAAGCAGCCAUACAUUAAAAGAGUGCGUAACAGCUCACUAGUCGAGAGGUCCUGCGCCGAAAAUGUCCGGGGCUAAACACAACACCGAAGCCUGGGAAUGUAGAAAUACAUUGGUAGAGGAGCAUUCUUAGAGGCGUAGAAGCCAUACCGGAAGGAAUGGUGGAGUAAUAAGAAGAGAGAAUGCCGGAAUGAGUAGCGAGAAAGAGGUGAGAAUCCUCUUGGCCGAAUAUCUAAGGUUUCCUGAGUAAAGCUGAUCUACUCAGGGUAAGUCGGGGCCUAAGGCAAGGUCGAAAGACGUAGUCGAUGGAUAACAGGUACAGAUUCCUGUACUACAUAUAAUCAGAACUGUGGGGACACGGAGACUAAAACCGAACCCGGGAGGACAAAAACCGGGGCAAGCGAAGUACCUGUAUGGGAGGAAAAACCACCAUACAAGGGGAAAACGUGAUGCGUACCGAAAAUUAGUAGGGAAGUCGGUUAGGGAGCCGUCAAGAAAAGCCGCUAUUGUGUUAUAUGUACCCGUACCGCAAACCGACACAGGUAGAUGAGGAGAGAAUCCUAAGGCCGGCGGGAGAAGCAUUGUUAAGGAACUCGGCAAAAUGACCCCGUAACUUCGGGAGAAGGGGUGCCACUUUAGUAGAGUGGUCGCAGAAAAAAGGCUCAAGCAACUGUUUAGCAAAAACACAGGUCUAUGCGAAACCGCAAGGUGAAGUAUAUGGGCUGACGCCUGCCCGGUGCCGGAAGGUUAAGAGGAGAAGUCAGGAAACGAAGCUUUGAAUUGAAGCCCCGGUAAACGGCGGCCGUAACUAUAACGGUCCUAAGGUAGCGAAAUUCCUUGUCGGGU
This 1942-nucleotide ribosomal RNA is filed under the name metagenome. RNAcentral's name for it is "bacterial LSU rRNA". It matches the Rfam family "Bacterial large subunit ribosomal RNA", at positions 1 to 1977 of the family's 2925-position model. The record is from RNAcentral.